CUUAUGAUGUGACUCUUCUGCCCAUGACAGAGCCACCGAAUAUACAUCGACAUAUCUUUGGCCCAUUAUGGUUCAAGGAGUGAGAGCAGAGCCAAGUCUUGGAGAUGCUGAACUUGCUGUCACACUGGAAAACAAGAUGCAUGGGGUAGGGGGCAAGGAUGAGGGGGAAAAGGACCACUCAGAUCAUCCUUAAGACAGACAAGGGAAGGAGUUCCCGUGAUGCUGUCAUUCAGAUGCCCGCCUGGCUGAUCCCCCAGAGGGGACUUGGGCUCCUCUUAGCAUCGACAGGCUGGUAUAAACCCCUGGCUCAGAUCGAGCUAUGCCCGGUGCUGCCUUAAGCCUUAGGAGGUCGCCACGGAACCGCAGAGAUUGUCCAAGAAACCUGAACAACAGAAGGAUGUAAGAUAGACAAGAGAGAAAGAGAGAGAGAGAUCGAGAGUCCGGUCUUCCGGAAACCAAGGCUUAGCUCCCGCCUCCUGGGCCCUGAGCUAAGUCAGUGGAGGGUCCUUGUCAGGACCACUUCCUACCCAAACCAAGAUACAAAAGCACCUACCAGAAAACCAAGGCUCAACCCACUAGUGUCCUAGAGUAACAGGCUGAGUCAAAAGAGGGACGCCCUCAUCAGGGCCACUCCCCUCUUACCAGAAACGAAGUCAAAUCUGACUUACCUGACCCCGGGGUCAGAAGCUGAGGACUCAGAUGUUGAAUUUUAGGGCAAUGACACGGUGGUCGAUCCGCUCUCCUCCGGAAGGCAGUUACUCUUCUGGGACCUUAAAAAUUAUUUCCUCAGGUGGCGCCCCCCAUCCAAGCCAGCCGUCCUUCCGGGGGAGCCCAGAGUGAGACCGGCUCUCACCCAGUGGAGUUAAUUUCUCACUGGGACCUCCAUUAUGUUGUAUCCAAGCGAGUUAAAAAAUAUGCCACACUUUGAGACGAAUUAAGAGUCCUUUAUUAAGCUGGCGGCCAAAGAGAUGGCUAAUGCUGAAAAUUCUCUCGGCCCCGAGGAAGGGGCUUGAUUAACUUUUAUACCUAGGUUUAGGAAGGGGAGGGGGACUCAAAUGCAAUAAUUCUACAGAAGUAAAAACAUGCAAGAAUCAAAAGAAGCAAAAUGGUUACAGAGAGAUAAACCACUUAAAAGACAAAUGGUUACAAGAAGAGCAAAGGUACCAGGUGCAAGGUUCUAAAUCUUUCAUUAUAAUUAGAUAUAGAGUCUAUAGAAGACAUGAACUCAAGGUUUUAUGUUGUUAUCUCUUUGAGAAAAAUCCUGGGAACUUCAUACAUUGUUGGUGUUAGUACCUUAUCAGUUAAUUGGACUCCUUUGAAAUGCUGAGGAUCUGUUUACCCAGGCCAACUCCUUACAAAAGGGGGUUGGGAAAGGAGCCCUUAGUGUCUUGUAAAUUAAGGGGUCAGUUGGAGUUUGUCUGGCCUUCCCAGCUACAGAGAGUCUUAUUUACAUGAGAAGCAAGGAUAGGUGAUUAAAGAGACAAGCAGGACAAAAUUCAAAGUAAUGAGUUAGAGUAAAAACAAGGUUAGGCAUUUCAUUAAUAUCAAAAAAUCUGCUCAUUAUCAGAUACUGAAAGAUAAAGUGAAUGAAUCUGUUUCAGCUUUUCUGGUUAAUUAAACUACCAUCAGAGAAUACUAUAAA
Homo sapiens (human) is the source of this 1642-nucleotide long non-coding RNA. RefSeq lists it as uncharacterized. The transcript is spliced from 4 exons. The record is from RefSeq and is a predicted model, not a curated record. Lineage: Eukaryota; Metazoa; Chordata; Mammalia; Primates; Hominidae.